Lotus japonicus is the source of this 1045-nucleotide long non-coding RNA. RefSeq lists it as uncharacterized. The record is from RefSeq and is a predicted model, not a curated record. Lineage: Eukaryota; Viridiplantae; Streptophyta; Magnoliopsida; Fabales; Fabaceae. The transcript has 2 exons.
CCAAUCAGUACUUGUGAUAUAAAAUCAAAUGUCAUGCUCCUCCAACAAAACGAAUCACUCUCCUUCCGAAACUUCUUCAUCACACAUUUUGAUUUCUAAAGCUUCUCCAUCAGCCCUUUAUCUAUUGGUUUUAAGCAAGCCAACCAUUAGACACUGUUUAUUCAGAGUUCAAACUGUAGAUCUACUCCUCAACUUCACAAAGUUUGAAACUUUUUGUGCUUCCAGUUCUAGAUCUGCAAAAAGAACUAAUCAGAAAGGAAACCAUAAAAGUGAAAUCAAGAGAGAGGGAGAAAGAAGUUACGAAGCCUGUCUUUCUGCAUGCUCUCGAACUAGUUGAGUCCGGUGGCUGUUGAAGGGGAAGGAAACCGAAAAAGCUUUCAUUCUUGCGAUUUCAGAUCAGAUCCAGAGAAGAUGAACAAAGUUUCCAUUCUUUUCCUCAUCUGAAAGAGAUUCCUCGUUUCAUCCUUGCGAUUUCAAACCAGAAUCGAUGGUUGGCUUGUUCUGGAGCAAAAUGAAAACGAACAAGCUCUGUCGGGUGAGAGAAGCAUGGAGGAUGAAGCGGCUAAGGUUUGAGAUGUGUGAGGGAAGAAGGAGAAGAGAGAAGGACAGUUGCGGCGGCUAGGGUAAGAUGUUGAGAAGAAGGAGGUUGUGGUGCUGCUAGGGUUAGAAGCUUCUGGAGAAUGAAGAAGGGAGGGAGAAGAACGGCUGAAGAAUGAAGAUUGAAUUAGGGUUAAGGAGUUAAGGAGUAUUUAUAUUAUGAAAUUGGGUUUUUUUGUUUUUUGUUUUUUUCUGAAGGGUGGCUUUGGGCUGGGCUUGUAUUAGGUCUCUAGGUUUUUUUUUUUUUAUUAGAGUGGGUUCGGUCGGCUCAGAGGUCAAACCGAACUCGACCGAACCAAACCGGCCUAACCCGGUUUUUUUCCGACCGCCAACCCGCCAACCGACCCGUCCGAACCGAGAUGGCCUUUUUUGGUAACGGGCCGGUCGGUUUCGGACGGGCCCAAAAUUUCUGGACAUGCCUAAUUACAUUCAUUUAUUUUUGCAAUAA